RNAcentral lists this ribosomal RNA (2372 nucleotides) under Stoloteuthis leucoptera. Its description in RNAcentral is "bacterial SSU rRNA". It matches the Rfam family "Eukaryotic small subunit ribosomal RNA". The record is from RNAcentral. Lineage: Eukaryota; Metazoa; Mollusca; Cephalopoda; Sepiida; Sepiolidae.
UCAUAUGCUUGUCUCAAAGCUUAAGCCAUGCAAGUGUAAGUUCACGCCACGCAUUAGAACGGGCGAAACCGCGAAUGGCUCAGGAACCGGACCUAAUCCUCGGGACCGUAUUCCUCUUCGGAGGCGAUGGAUAACUGUGGCAAUUCUAGAGCUAAUACAUGUGAUACAGGCCGCGAUCGGUCGGCGCGUUGUCGUCGCCUCGCCUUCUUGCGCGCUGGCACCCGCGUCGGCCGUUACGGGUCGCGGCGCUACAUAUUAGACUGAGACCGAUGCGCGUCCAUCCGUCCUCCCGUCGUUGUCGUCGUCGAUGGCAACUCGUUGUCGUUGGCGGUGGUGGCGGUGGGGCUCAUAGGGCGGCGCGCUCCGCUUUGGUGACUCUGGAUAACUCACUGGUCGAUCGCACGAGCUCCAAUGCUCGGCGACGGGUCUCUCGAGGGUCCGCCCUAUCAACUGUCGACGGUCGGUUAAGUGCCUACCGUGGUUACAACGGGUAACGGGGAAUCGGGGUUCGAUUCCGGAGAGGGAGCAUGCGAAACGGCUACCACAUCCAAGGAAGGCAGCAGGCGCGCAAAUUACCCACUCCCGGCACGGGGAGGUAGUGACGAAAAAUAACGACGCGGGACUCUGUCGAGGCCCCGCGAUCGGAAUGAGUACACUUCAAAUCCGUUAACGAGGACCAACCGGAGGGCAAGUCUGGUGCCAGCAGCCGCGGUAAUUCCAGCUCCGGUAGCGUAUAUUAAAGUUGUUGCGGUUAAAAAGCUCGUAGUCCGAACUCGGGUUCGUGGUCGCGUUAGCGGCCCCGGGGCGGCGGCGCCAUCGUCCAUUGUUGACUUUGGUCGUCCGUUCGCAUUCCCGGCCCUUUCCGCCGGUGUCAACCGCUGUACAUCCGCCACGUGGUCCUGCCGGCGAGGUGGACGAGGUGGUCGAGUCGGGAUUCGGGAGCGGUUCCGGGCGGGUGAACGAAAUCACGGGGUCGUAAGUGGUGGUCUUCGUCGUUGGGCGUCGGUUGAUACAGUGGCGGCGCUAUCACUUUCUGGACAUGCAUCCGUGUGUGUUCGCUGGUUUACGGUGUUCCACUCAGCCGUUCGUCUCUUCGGUGGCGGCCAUCGCCCUUUCUCGCCGCUUCCUCACCCUCGCUCUCCCUCCCCCCGAUUCACACCGAGUCCCUGCUUCGUGUCUGCGCGCGCGUGUUGCGGUCGGCGGUUUCUCCUCCAAGGGUGCUCUUAACCGAGUGUCCGCGGCGGCCGGUACGUUCACUUUGAAAAAAUUAGAGUGCUCAGAGCGGGCUGUUCAAGCUUGCAUACGAUAAGCAUGGAAUGAUGAAAGAGGGCCUCGUCUACGUCUGUCGGUCUCCGUCUACGGCGAGGCAAUGAUCGAAGGGAGCGGUCGGGGCCACUCGUAUUGCGACGUUAGAGGUGAAAUUCUUGGAUCGUCGCAAGACGAACUGCAGCGAUGGCGUGUGGCAAGCACGUUUUCCUCGAUCAAGAGCGAAAGUCGGAGGUUCGAAGACGAUCAGAUACCGUCGUAGUUCCGACCGUAAACGAUGCCGACCGGCGAUCCGCCGGCGUUCGCUUCCAUGACCCGGCGGGUAGCCUGCGGGAAACCAGAGUUCGGUUCCGGGGGGAGUAUGGUUGCAAAGCUGAAACUUAAAGGAAUUGACGGAAGGGCACCACCAGGAGUGGAGCCUGCGGCUUAAUUUGACUCAACACGGGAAAACUCACCCGGUCCGGACACCGGUAGGAUUGACAGAUCGAUAGCUCUUUCUCGAUUCGGUGGGUGGUGGUGCAUGGCCGUUCUUAGUUGGUGGAGCGAUCCGUCUGGUUGAUUCCGAUAACGAACGAGACUCCGGCCUGCUAACUAGUGCGCCGAUGUGUGUGAUUUUUACGGCGGGCUCGACGGUGUCCAUCGUGGCGCCGCCCGGGUCCGGGUCGGUUUUCUCACGCACUUCUUAGAGGGACGGGUGGCAGAAAGCCACACGAGGCGGAGCGAUAACAGGUCUGUGAUGCCCUUAGAUGUCCGGGGCCGCACGCGCGCUACACUGGAGGUAUCAGCGGGGACUUCGCCCCGGCCCGAGAGGGUUGGGAAACCUCUUAACCACCUCCCGUGAUAGGGAUCGGGGCCUGUAACCAACCCCGUGAACGAGGAAUUCCCGGUAGGCGCGGGUCAACAGCCCGCGUCGAUCACGUCCCUGCCCUUUGUACACACCGCCCGUCGCUACUACCGAUCGAACGGUCCGGUGAGGUCCUCGGAUCUGGCUGACGACGCCGCCCAGGCUGUUCGGUUGCGGUUUCGGCCGCUCCGUCUCCGCCUCGGCGUUCGAUGCCUGGAGAAGACGACCGAACCCGAUCGUNNAGAGGAAGUAAAAGUCGUAA